Molecule: ribosomal RNA, 404 nt
Filed under: Parageobacillus caldoxylosilyticus
Lineage: Bacteria; Bacillati; Bacillota; Bacilli; Caryophanales; Anoxybacillaceae
Description: bacterial SSU rRNA
Rfam family: Bacterial small subunit ribosomal RNA
Source: RNAcentral
CUAUACAUGCAAGUCGAGCGGACCGAACAGGAGCUUGCUCUCUGUUCGGUUAGCGGCGGACGGGUGAGUAACACGUGGGUAACCUACCCGUAAGACCGGGAUAACUCCGGGAAACCGGAGCUAAUACCGGAUAACACCAAAGACCGCAUGGUCUUUGGUUGAAAGGCGGCUUCGGCUGUCACUUACGGAUGGGCCCGCGGCGCAUUAGCUAGUUGGUGAGGUAACGGCUCACCAAGGCGACGAUGCGUAGCCGGCCUGAGAGGGUGACCGGCCACACUGGGACUGAGACACGGCCCAGACUCCUACGGGAGGCAGCAGUAGGGAAUCUUCCGCAAUGGACGAAAGUCUGACGGAGCGACGCCGCGUGAGCGAAGAAGGUCUUCGGAUCGUAAAGCUCUGUUGUU